Long non-coding RNA from Apis laboriosa (Himalayan honeybee), 601 nucleotides. RefSeq lists it as uncharacterized. Lineage: Eukaryota; Metazoa; Arthropoda; Insecta; Hymenoptera; Apidae. The record is from RefSeq and is a predicted model, not a curated record. The transcript is spliced from 3 exons.
UUGAAGUAAUCUUGAACAAGUUAUUUGUGUUUCCUUAUACGGGCAUUGUUGAGUUCGAUAUAUUUUUCUGUUUAAAUUCCUUAUAACUAUGGAAAAGAAGUCUUUUAGAAGUCUUUUAAACUUCUGAAUAAGUUAUAUAUAGAUAUACACAAUUUCAAAUUCGAAUGUUCUUCAGCUAAAAGCUAGACGAUGAUUCAUGCUGAAGCUUGUGUGAAAUUUUUGCUUCUUCGUGACAAAUUGUAUCCUCCAUAAUUUCAUCGUACGUUGAAACGAUUUUUUUUAAUAUAUGUAAAUGAUGUUGGCUAGAAGAACUUCGAUUUUAGAAUACGCUCCUGAACACUGUCCCUCAAGACUCGUUUCCGUGCUCCCUCGACGUAGCUCCAAGCAAUACACGGGGUCCCAUUCCGUGCAGAAGUGCAAUGUACCCGAUAAUCCGAAUGCCGGAGAUAUAUACGCAUAUUUCACAAAGGGAGAAAACUCAUGCCAGGAUAAUAGCUAUAAAACAAAAGUGCAAUGUUAAAUUUGUAUUAAACUGACUGUACAUCCGGAAUUACAAUUGAGGUUAUACAUGAUGAAACAUAUCAUGGGUUGAAUAUUUGAG